Molecule: ribosomal RNA, 707 nt
Filed under: Gyalectidium filicinum
Lineage: Eukaryota; Fungi; Ascomycota; Lecanoromycetes; Ostropales; Graphidaceae
Description: SSU rRNA
Rfam family: Bacterial small subunit ribosomal RNA
Source: RNAcentral
UGGUCAAUAGCCUAACGGCUGACCCAGCAACUUAAAAGACCGAAAAGCCGAAGUCAUGAGCGGUUACCAUAUAAGUAUAUGGGGCAUAAUAUGCGGAUAGUUCGAAGUAAGUCUUGAUAAUGACAUAAUUUGCUUUUAAGUCUUGACCAACUCAUGUGCCAGCAGUCGCGGCAAGACAUGGAAGGCUGCGUUAUUCAUCCUUAUUAGGUUUAAAGGGUACCUAGACGGUAGUUAUCAGCUUUUUUCUUUAAAGAAUUUUGUACUAUAAAUACUAGAGUUUUAUGUAAGGAGAUUCCGAACGGUGAGUGGAGGGAUAGAAUCUUUUGAUACCACUUAGAUACUGGUUUAGGUGAAGACAGGAUCCUAUGUAAAAACUGACGUUGAGGGACGAAGGCUAGAGAUAAGGAACGGGAUUAGUUACCCCAGUACUACUGGCAGACAAUGAUGAAUGCCAUAUGUAAGAGAAAUUUUAUAUAUAAAUGAAAGUGUAAGCAUUCCACCUCAAGAGUAAUAUGGCAACAUAUAAACUGAAAUCAUUAGGCCGUUUCUGGAACUCGUAGUGAAGUAUGUUAUUUAAUUUGAUGAUCCCCAAAGGACCUUACCACAGUGUGAUAUAGUUAUAUACAUAAGUAUAUAUCGGACAAGCGUUGCACGGCUGUCUACAGUUGAUGUCGUGAGAAUCGAUUAGUUUCGUUAAUCAACGGAAU